This 433-nucleotide ribosomal RNA is filed under the name uncultured bacterium. Its description in RNAcentral is "partial 16S ribosomal RNA". It matches the Rfam family "Bacterial small subunit ribosomal RNA", at positions 29 to 507 of the family's 1533-position model. The record is from RNAcentral.
AACGAACGCUGGCGGCAUGCCUAACACAUGCAAGUCGAACGAGACCUUCGGGUCUAGUGGCGCACGGGUGCGUAACGCGUGGGAACCUGCCCUUAGGUUCGGAAUAACUCCCCGAAAGGGGUGCUAAUACCGGAUAAUGUCCUCGGACCAAAGAUUUAUCGCCUUUGGAUGGGCCCGCGUUGGAUUAGCUAGUUGGUAGGGUAAAAGCCUACCAAGGCGACGAUCCAUAGCUGGUCUGAGAGGAUGAUCAGCCACACUGGGACUGAGACACGGCCCAGACUCCUACGGGAGGCAGCAGUGGGGAAUAUUGGACAAUGGGCGAAAGCCUGAUCCAGCAAUGCCGCGUGAGUGAUGAAGGCCUUAGGGUUGUAAAGCUCUUUUACCCGUGAUGAUAAUGACAGUACCGGGAGAAUAAGCUCCGGCUAACUCCGUG